CAUCAAAACUCCUGUUUUAACGGUGUUGUCUGAGCUACAAGCAACGAAUCAAAACUUUCAACAACGGAUCUCUUGGUUCUGGCAUCGAUGAAGAACGCAGCGAAAUGCGAUAAGUAGUGUGAAUUGCAGAAUUCAGUGAAUCAUCGAAUCUUUGAACGCACAUUGCGCCCCUUGGUAUCCCGAGGGGCAUGCCUGUUCGAGCGUCAUUUCACCACUCAAGCCUGGCUUGGUGUUGGGCGACGUCCCCCUUUAGGGACGCGCCUCGAAACGCUCGGCGGCGUGGCACCGGCUUUAAGCGUAGCAGAAUCUUUCGCUUUGAAAGUCGGGGCCCCGUCUGCCGGAAGACCUACUCACAAGGUUGACCUCGGAUCAGGUAGGGAUACCCGCUGAACUUAAGCAU
RNAcentral lists this unclassified non-coding RNA (400 nucleotides) under uncultured Cenococcum. RNAcentral's name for it is "sequence contains ITS1, 5.8S rRNA gene and ITS2". The stretch from base 53 to 206 matches the Rfam family "5.8S ribosomal RNA". The record is from RNAcentral. Lineage: Eukaryota; Fungi; Ascomycota; Dothideomycetes; Gloniales; Gloniaceae.